This 860-nucleotide ribosomal RNA is filed under the name uncultured Alphaproteobacteria bacterium. RNAcentral describes it as "bacterial SSU rRNA". It matches the Rfam family "Bacterial small subunit ribosomal RNA", at positions 28 to 936 of the family's 1533-position model. The record is from RNAcentral. Lineage: Bacteria; Pseudomonadati; Pseudomonadota; Alphaproteobacteria.
AACGAACGCUGGCGGCAGGCCUAACACAUGCAAGUCGAGCGCACCUUCAGGUGAGCGGCGGACGGGUUAGUAACGCGUGGGAACGUACCCAGAUCUAAGGAAUAGCCACUGGAAACGGUGAGUAAUACCUUAUACGCCCUUCGGGGGAAAGAUUUAUCGGAUUUGGAUCGGCCCGCGUUAGAUUAGGUAGUUGGUGGGGUAAUGGCCUACCAAGCCUACGAUCUAUAGCUGGUUUUAGAGGAUGAUCAGCAACACUGGGACUGAGACACGGCCCAGACUCCUACGGGAGGCAGCAGUGGGGAAUCUUAGACAAUGGGGGAAACCCUGAUCUAGCCAUGCCGCGUGAGUGAUGAAGGUCUUAGGAUCGUAAAGCUCUUUCGCCAGGGAUGAUAAUGACAGUACCUGGUAAAGAAACCCCGGCUAACUCCGUGCCAGCAGCCGCGGUAAUACGGAGGGGGUUAGCGUUGUUCGGAAUUACUGGGCGUAAAGCGCGCGUAGGCGGAUCGGAAAGUUGGGGGUGAAAUCCCGGGGCUCAACCCCGGAACUGCCUCCAAAACUAUCGGUCUAGAGUUCGAGAGAGGUGAGUGGAACUCCGAGUGUAGAGGUGAAAUUCGUAGAUAUUCGGAAGAACACCAGUAGCGAAGGCGGCUCACUGGCUCGAUACUGACGCUGAGGUGCGAAAGUGUGGGGAGCAAACAGGAUUAGAUACCCUGGUAGUCCACACCGUAAACGAUGAACGCCAGUCGUCGGGCAGUAUACUGUUCGGUGACACACCUAACGGAUUAAGCAUUCCGCCUGGGGAGUACGGUCGCAAGAUUAAAACUCAAAGGAAUUGACGGGGGCCCCGCACAAGCGGUGGA